Molecule: small nucleolar RNA, 90 nt
Organism: Choloepus didactylus (southern two-toed sloth)
Lineage: Eukaryota; Metazoa; Chordata; Mammalia; Pilosa; Megalonychidae
Source: RefSeq, a predicted model, not a curated record
GCGCUGCCUUUGAGCCCCCUCUGCGCCUGCGCGUGGCGCCGGGGGUUAAGCUGCAGCGCUCGGCGCGUUUAGCGUGAGUGAGCGCCAUGG